GGGCGGCGGGCCCUCUGAACCUUUUUUGAAAACGACCAGUCGCCGUCUGAGCAAACAAAAAAAAUUAUCA
Molecule: unclassified non-coding RNA, 70 nt
Filed under: Sporothrix nebularis
Lineage: Eukaryota; Fungi; Ascomycota; Sordariomycetes; Ophiostomatales; Ophiostomataceae
Description: partial internal trancribed spacer 1
Source: RNAcentral